This is a long non-coding RNA of Megalobrama amblycephala (Wuchang bream), 188 nucleotides long. RefSeq lists it as uncharacterized. The record is from RefSeq and is a predicted model, not a curated record. Lineage: Eukaryota; Metazoa; Chordata; Actinopteri; Cypriniformes; Xenocyprididae. The transcript is spliced from 3 exons.
GGCGCCGCAUGCAAGGUUUUUGUCAGGAGUAACAACUGCAGAUUAUGAGUUACCUGCGUGCAUAAUGCUGAAGUGCAGAUUCAGAAUUGGACUUGUGGCUAUGGAGGACUCUGCCGGCGCUUCUGUUUUGACCAAGAAUACAUUGUCGGUCACCAUGGUUGUCCACGCAAAUACAGAUGCUGUGCGGU